Molecule: ribosomal RNA, 1415 nt
Filed under: Rathayibacter agropyri
Lineage: Bacteria; Bacillati; Actinomycetota; Actinomycetes; Micrococcales; Microbacteriaceae
Description: bacterial SSU rRNA
Rfam family: Bacterial small subunit ribosomal RNA
Source: RNAcentral
GGUGCGGCUGCUUACCUGCAGUCGAACGAUGAAGCCCAGCUUGCUGGGUGGAUUAGUGGCGAACGGGUGAGUAACACGUGAGUAACCUGCCCUUGACUCUGGGAUAAGCGCUGGAAACGGCGUCUAAUACCGGAUACGACCUGCCCCGGCAUCGGGUGUGGGUGGAAAGUUUUUCGGUCAAGGAUGGACUCGCGGCCUAUCAGCUUGUUGGUGAGGUAAUGGCUCACCAAGGCGACGACGGGUAGCCGGCCUGAGAGGGUGACCGGCCACACUGGGACUGAGACACGGCCCAGACUCCUACGGGAGGCAGCAGUGGGGAAUAUUGCACAAUGGGCGCAAGCCUGAUGCAGCAACGCCGCGUGGGGGAUGACGGCCUUCGGGUUGUAAACCUCUUUUAGUAGGGAAGAAGGGCUUCGGCUUGACGGUACCUGCAGAAAAAGCACCGGCUAACUACGUGCCAGCAGCCGCGGUAAUACGUAGGGUGCAAGCGUUGUCCGGAAUUAUUGGGCGUAAAGAGCUCGUAGGCGGUUUGUCGCGUCUGCUGUGAAAACCCGAGGCUCAACCUCGGGCCUGCAGUGGGUACGGGCAGACUAGAGUGCGGUAGGGGAGAAUGGAAUUCCUGGUGUAGCGGUGGAAUGCGCAGAUAUCAGGAGGAACACCGAUGGCGAAGGCAGUUCUCUGGGCCGUUACUGACGCUGAGGAGCGAAAGCGUGGGGAGCGAACAGGAUUAGAUACCCUGGUAGUCCACGCCGUAAACGUUGGGAACUAGAUGUGGGGACCUUUCCACGGUCUCCGUGUCGCAGCUAACGCAUUAAGUUCCCCGCCUGGGGAGUACGGCCGCAAGGCUAAAACUCAAAGGAAUUGACGGGGGCCCGCACAAGCGGCGGAGCAUGCGGAUUAAUUCGAUGCAACGCGAAGAACCUUACCAAGGCUUGACAUAUACCGGAAACUUCCAGAAAUGGUUGCCCCGCAAGGUCGGUAUACAGGUGGUGCAUGGUUGUCGUCAGCUCGUGUCGUGAGAUGUUGGGUUAAGUCCCGCAACGAGCGCAACCCUCGUUCUAUGUUGCCAGCACGUCAUGGUGGGAACUCAUAGGAGACUGCCGGGGUCAACUCGGAGGAAGGUGGGGAUGACGUCAAAUCAUCAUGCCCCUUAUGUCUUGGGCUUCACGCAUGCUACAAUGGCCGGUACAAAGGGCUGCGAUACCGUAAGGUGGAGCGAAUCCCAAAAAGCCGGUCUCAGUUCGGAUUGAGGUCUGCAACUCGACCUCAUGAAGUCGGAGUCGCUAGUAAUCGCAGAUCAGCAACGCUGCGGUGAAUACGUUCCCGGGCCUUGUACACACCGCCCGUCAAGUCAUGAAAGUCGGUAACACCCGAAGCCAGUGGCCUAACCGCAAGGAGGGAGCGUCGAAGGUAUC